ACAGCAGUCGCCGCGGUAAUACAGAGGGUGCGAGCGUUAAUCGGAUUUACUGGGCGUAAAGCGUGCGUAGGCGGCUUCUUAAGUCGGAUGUGAAAUCCCUGAGCUUAACUUAGGAAUUGCAUUCGAUACUGGGAAGCUAGAGUAUGGGAGAGGAUGGUAGAAUUCCAGGUGUAGCGGUGAAAUGCGUAGAGAUCUGGAGGAAUACCGAUGGCGAAGGCAGCCAUCUGGCCUAAUACUGACGCUGAGGUACGAAAGCAUGGGGAGCAAACAGGAUUAGAUACCCGUAGUCCCUGUCUCUUAUACAC
RNAcentral lists this ribosomal RNA (305 nucleotides) under uncultured bacterium. RNAcentral describes it as "partial 16S ribosomal RNA". It matches the Rfam family "Bacterial small subunit ribosomal RNA", at positions 508 to 809 of the family's 1533-position model. The record is from RNAcentral.